UAAAAACAAUAAACUCAAAGCAUUUUCUGUGCAGUGAGGAGGGCGACGAAGAAGAAGAAGAGGAAGAGACACUGAUGAAUCCUCCGUCUCCAUCACCAUACCUCACCUUUCUUCCUUCACCCGCUAACCCUACCUUCUUCUAUUCUCUUCUCCACCACCACCAACUCAAUCACUUCACCAACACCACCACCUCUGCCUCUGCCACAGCCUCCUGAUCUCCCUACCGCUCUCUCAACACUCAAACACCUCAUCCACCUCUCCAAAACCACCCUCCACUCUAUCUCCACUCUCCUCCCCACCACCGCCACCACUAUCGCCCUCUGCUCCUGCCCUUUCAAUUUCCACCACCGCCUUCCGCCGGAAUCCCUUUUCCGCCACUCCCUCCAAUGCCCUUCUUCCCCUUCCCCUCUUUUCAACCUUAACCCCCUCCUGCUCCAAUCACUGUGCUACCCCAACACUCUCAAACCCUCUCGACAACUCUUCAAUCAGAACUGCUUCCUUCAAACCCUACACGAUACCAACUCCAACCUCUGCUUCUCCCUUGACGAUUACUACGACUUCAGCCCCAAUUUCUUCUACCGUAAUUGCCCCGGCGUAGUUAGGUCUACCGAUCGAGAUAGUUUGAGCCGAACCUUCACUCUCCCAGUGCACAUCAAAGAAAGGUGGAAGUGAGACAAUGGACCUGAUUGAUUGCAGAAUAAAAGUUUGGUAGCCAGUGGACAAGUGGUUUUAUGGAGUAGUGAAGUCUUAUGACUCUGAACAUAAGAAAUAUGUGGCAAGUGCACCGUUCCAUGUUCUAUUUU
Camellia sinensis is the source of this 803-nucleotide non-coding RNA. The record is from RefSeq and is a predicted model, not a curated record. NCBI's taxonomy places the organism in Eukaryota, Viridiplantae, Streptophyta, Magnoliopsida, Ericales, Theaceae.